AGAGUUUGAUCAUGGCUCAGAUUGAACGCUGGCGGCGUGCCUAACACAUGCAAGUCGAGCGGUAACAGGUGUAGCAAUACAUGCUGACGAGCGGCGAACGGGUGAGUAAUGCUUCGGAAUCUACCCAAUGGUGGGGAAUAACCAGCCGAAAGGUUGGCUAAUACCGCAUAAGUCCUACGGGAGAAAGCAGGGGAUCGUAAGACCUUGCGCCGAUGGAUGAGCCGAAGCCGGAUUAGCUAGUUGGUAGGGUAACGGCCUACCAAGGCGACGAUCCGUAGCUGGUCUGAGAGGACGACCAGCCACACUGGGACUGAGACACGGCCCAGACUCCUACGGGAGGCAGCAGUGGGGAAUAUUGGACAAUGGGGGCAACCCUGAUCCAGCGACGCCGCGUGUGUGAAGAAGGCCUGCGGGUUGUAAAGCACUUUUAGUGGGGAUGAAAAGCUCAGGGCUAACACCUCUGGGUCUUGACCUAACCCACAGAAAAAGCACCGGCUAACUCUGUGCCAGCAGCCGCGGUAAUACAGAGGGUGCAAGCGUUAAUCGGAAUUACUGGGCGUAAAGCGUGCGUAGACGGUUACGUAAGUCGGGUGUGAAAGCCCCGGGCUCAACCUGGGAAUUGCAUUCGAGACUGCAUAGCUAGGGUGCGGAAGAGGGAAGCGGAAUUUCCGGUGUAGCGGUGAAAUGCGUAGAUAUCGGAAGGAACACCAGUGGCGAAAGCGGCUUCCUGGUCCAGCACCGACGUUCAGGCACGAAAGCGUGGGGAGCAAACAGGAUUAGAUACCCCCGUAGUCC
This 795-nucleotide ribosomal RNA is filed under the name uncultured bacterium. RNAcentral's name for it is "bacterial SSU rRNA". It matches the Rfam family "Bacterial small subunit ribosomal RNA", at positions 8 to 796 of the family's 1533-position model. The record is from RNAcentral.